Molecule: ribosomal RNA, 485 nt
Filed under: uncultured bacterium
Lineage: Bacteria
Description: bacterial SSU rRNA
Rfam family: Bacterial small subunit ribosomal RNA
Source: RNAcentral
AACGAACGCUGGCGGCAGGCCUAACACAUGCAAGUCGAGCGGACCCUUCGGGGUUAGCGGCGGACGGGUUAGUAACGCGUGGGAACGUGCCCAAAGGUACGGAAUAGCCUCGGGAAACUGAGAGUAAUACCGUAUGUGCCCCUCGGGGGAAAGAUUUAUCGCCUUUGGAUCGGCCCGCGUUGGAUUAGGUAGUUGGUGGGGUAAUGGCCUACCAAGCCGACGAUCUCUAGCUGGUCUGAGAGGAUGACCAGCCACACUGGAACUGAGACACGGUCCAGACUCCUACGGGAGGCAGCAGUGGGGAAUAUUGCACAAUGGGGGAAACCCUGAUCCAGCAAUGCCGCGUGUGUGAAGAAGGCCUGCGGGUUGUAAAGCACUUUCAGUGGGGAAGAACAGGUUCGGGUCAAUACCCCGGAGCCCUGACGUUACCCACAGAAGAAGCACCGGCUAACUCCGUGCCAGCAGCCGCGGUAAUGUGGGACUGU